RNAcentral lists this small RNA (145 nucleotides) under Chrysemys picta bellii (western painted turtle). RNAcentral describes it as "TUC338 (ENSCPBG00000024784.1)". The record is from RNAcentral. Lineage: Eukaryota; Metazoa; Chordata; Testudines; Emydidae.
UUGACGGCCCUGGAGACUGAAUCUUCUGUUUAAACACAGAAUAGAUACAGCAUGGGUAAGCACAGUGUAAUGUGCCCCAGCUCUCACCUGGAGGGGCCAGAGAGGAUACUUCAUAAUUCCACAGUCCAUUCAGUCUUUCGACAGU